Molecule: ribosomal RNA, 253 nt
Filed under: uncultured bacterium
Lineage: Bacteria
Description: partial 16S ribosomal RNA
Rfam family: Bacterial small subunit ribosomal RNA
Source: RNAcentral
UACGGGGGGGGUAAGCGUUGUUCGGAAUUACUGGGCGUAAAGGGCUCGUAGGCGGCCAACUAAGUCGGACGUGAAAUCCCUCAGCUUAACUGGGGAACUGCGUCUGAUACUGGAUGGCUUGGAUUUGGGAGAGGGAUGCGGAAUUCCAGGUGUAGCGGUGAAAUGCGUAGAUAUCUGGAGGAAGGCCGGUGGCGAAGGCGGCGCUCUGGAACAUUUCUGACGCUGAGGCUCGAAAGCGUGGGGAGCAAACAGG